This 254-nucleotide ribosomal RNA is filed under the name uncultured bacterium. Its description in RNAcentral is "partial small subunit ribosomal RNA". It matches the Rfam family "Bacterial small subunit ribosomal RNA", at positions 27 to 285 of the family's 1533-position model. The record is from RNAcentral.
GGGACGAACGCUGGCGGCGUGCUUAACACAUGCAAGUCGAGCGGAAAGGCCCUUCGGGGUACUCGAGCGGCGAACGGGUGAGUAACACGUGAGUAAUCUGCCCCUAGCUCUGGGAUAGCUCCGGGAAACCGGGAUUAAUACCAGAUACAACCACUUUAGACAUCUCUUGUGGUGGAAAGAAUUUCGGCUAGGGAUGAACUCGCGGCCUAUCAGCUUGUUGGUGAGGUAACGGCUCACCAAGGCGACGACGGGUA